AAGCUCAACUUCGGAGCUGCAUUUGAAACUCCUAGUCUAGAGGAAUGGCGGAGAAAAUGGAAUUCCACGUGUAGCGGUGAAAUGCGUAGAUAUGUGGAAGAACACCUGUGGCGAAAGCGAUUUUCUAGCUUUUUCCUGACGCUGAGGCGCGAGAGCAAGGGGAGCAAACAGGAUUAGAUACCCUGGUAGUCCUUGCCGUAAACGAUGUAUACUCGAUGUAGUUAGGCUCAACCCUGACUGUGUCGAAGCUAACGCGAUAAGUAUACCGCCUGGGGAGUACGCUCGCAAGGGUGAAACUCAAAAGAAUUGACGGGGGCCCGCACAAGCAGUGGAGCAUGUGGUUUAAUUCGAUGCAACGCGAAGAACCUUACCCAGGCUCGAAAUGUAGAGGGCGAUACCAGAGAUGGUAUUUUCCGUAAGGACCUCUAUAUAGGUGCUGCAUGGCUGUCGUCAGCUCGUGCCGUGAGGUGUUGGGUUAAGUCCCGCAACGAGCGCAACCCUUAUCAUUAGUUGCCAACACGUAAUGGUAGGAACUCUAGUGAGACUGCCUAGGUUAACUAGGAGGAAGGUGAGGAUGACGUCAAGUCCGCAUGGCCUUUAUGUCUGGGGCUACACACGUGCUACAAUGGUCGGUACAGAAGGCAGCGAAGUCGUAAGAUGGAGCAAAUCCCUAAAGCCGGCCUCAGUUCAGAUUGUGGUCUGCAACUCGACCACAUGAA
RNAcentral lists this ribosomal RNA (719 nucleotides) under uncultured bacterium. RNAcentral describes it as "bacterial SSU rRNA". It matches the Rfam family "Bacterial small subunit ribosomal RNA", at positions 605 to 1324 of the family's 1533-position model. The record is from RNAcentral.